Molecule: non-coding RNA, 80 nt
Organism: Acanthosepion pharaonis
Lineage: Eukaryota; Metazoa; Mollusca; Cephalopoda; Sepiida; Sepiidae
Source: the annotation of a GenBank genome assembly
UUCCCGUACGAUCACAGAAGUUAAGCAACGUCGAUCCUGGUCAGUACCUUACUGGGUGACCGUUUGGGAAUACCAGGUAC